AACGCGAAGAACCUUACCUGGGCUCGAACGGCUUCGGACCAUCCUUGGAAACAGGGACUUCCCGCAAGGGACUGGAGUCGAGGUGCUGCAUGGCUGUCGUCAGCUCGUGUCGUGAGAUGUUGGGUUAAGUCCCGCAACGAGCGCAACCCUUGUCCUGUGUUGGCAUGCCGCAAGGCGCAACUCUCAGGAGACCGCCAGCGAUAAGUUGGAGGAAGGUGGGGAUGACGUCAAGUCAUCAUGGCCUUUAUGUCCAGGGCCACACACGUGCUACAAUGGAAGGGACAACGAGUCGCGAACCCGCGAGGGCAAGCUAAUCUCACAAACCCUUUCUCAGUUCGGAUUGAAGGCUGCAACUCGCCUUCAUGAAGUCGGAAUCGCUAGUAACCGUAGAUCAGCUACGCUGCGGUGAAUACGUUCCCGGGCCUUGUACACACCGAUAGC
This 441-nucleotide ribosomal RNA is filed under the name uncultured bacterium. RNAcentral describes it as "bacterial SSU rRNA". It matches the Rfam family "Bacterial small subunit ribosomal RNA", at positions 958 to 1397 of the family's 1533-position model. The record is from RNAcentral.